CUAGCUGUAAACGAUGGAUACUAGGCGUUGAGAGUAUCGACCCUCUCAGUGUCGUAGCUAACGCGUUAAGUAUCCCGCCUGGGGAGUACGCGCGCAAGCGUGAAACUCAAAGGAAUUGACGGGGGCCCGCACAAGCGGUGGAGUAUGUGGUUUAAUUCGACGCAACGCGAAGAACCUUACCAGGGCUUGACAUGUCCGGAACCCUGCCCAAAGGCGGGGGUGCCUACGGGAACCGGAACACAGGUGGUGC
Molecule: ribosomal RNA, 250 nt
Filed under: uncultured Chroococcidiopsis sp.
Lineage: Bacteria; Bacillati; Cyanobacteriota; Cyanophyceae; Chroococcidiopsidales; Chroococcidiopsidaceae
Description: partial 16S ribosomal RNA
Rfam family: Bacterial small subunit ribosomal RNA
Source: RNAcentral